AGAAAGAGGCGACCUUCCAACCCUCUCCCCCUCAAAACCCGCCAAGCUUGCUCGGAGCGAGCUGCUGCCUUGUUCGGAAGGCGCGCGGCGGGAGGCGCGCGCGGCGCAGUUCCAUUGGCAAAGCUCCCUCCCACUCCUUCCCAACCCAACCCAAGUUGUGGGCGGGGCCUUGCACUACUCAAAAUGGCAAAAGAAUGCAGUGUUUGUGCGUGAGCGACUUAUUCACCUGAAACUCGCCCGGCGGCAACAAACAGGUUGUUCCUGCAAUUCUUCCAAGGCGAGAGCGCGCGCUUUUAAAGCGACAAGGCUCUGUUUCGAGGGCAAGACACUCUGGCCUCUGCCAUCAGUCAGGAGAUCAACGGCUAUUGGGAAGCUGCUCCCUCCACCCUCCAGGAAGAACAUCAUGGCAAAGGGGAGACUAACUGGCCCCAUCUAUUACCCACAGAAGGAGCAGCUGCAAGGAGCUUGUUUCACCCCUGUAAGAAACUCUGUAACUAAGAACUAGUGUCCCAAGUUUUCUUUCCCCCCUCUUCCCUCUCAAUUCCUUUCCUUUUGUGUCAUGUCUCAGAUUGUAAGCCUGAGGGAGGGGUCCGUCCGUCUUAUUGUUGAGAGUCACUCUGGGAGCCUUAUUUUUUAGCUAAGGAACAUGUUUUGUGGGACCCGUCUCCUUUUCUGAAUCUAUAUACUAUUCUGUUCGACGUGGAAUUGUUUUAUAAUUGUAAUGGUUUAAUCUGUUGUUAUAAUUGCAUAUUCUAUUGCCACAACCACCCUGGGAUCUUGUAGUGAAGGGUGGGUAAGAAAUCUUAUAAAUAAAAUACUGGGUUUUUUUUCA
Long non-coding RNA from Rhineura floridana, 832 nucleotides. RefSeq lists it as uncharacterized. The transcript is spliced from 2 exons. The record is from RefSeq and is a predicted model, not a curated record. Lineage: Eukaryota; Metazoa; Chordata; Lepidosauria; Squamata; Rhineuridae.